Molecule: long non-coding RNA, 20010 nt
Filed under: Homo sapiens (human)
Lineage: Eukaryota; Metazoa; Chordata; Mammalia; Primates; Hominidae
Description: HSALNT0315341
Source: RNAcentral
GUAAUGCUCUUGUGGGCGUGCAUGAGAUGGGACAUCACAGCUUCCAGGGACCCCUGCCACUUGCAGGAAGCACCAGGACAUGGGCAGGAGUAGGGACGGUAUUCACAUAUGUCUUCAUGUUCUGGUUUCUCCGUAUGGUGCAGGGUCAGGGAACAGCCCGUGGUGGCAUACUGCAAAGAAAGAAAUGCAUUGAGCCAUUGGGCCUUCUCAAAACUUCUAUUGCUUCAACCCUCUAUGAGUACUUAACUACUCCAUUUUCCUGGGCUUAAACUGUGUUCUUAACUACUUUUGCUCAAAGCAAGUGAAAUAUUCAAGACUAAAAGUCUCCGUCUCUAUUCAUCAUCAAUGCUGUCAUGCAUAAAAUGAAGGGUAUUUCCUGAACCAGAAAUACGCUGUUUUCCAUGCCCCCUGUUCCGCUGUCAAAGGGAUCAGAACUAAAGUUCUCUUACUGUGCACAUCUCAAAAUUGUUGAGCAAGCCCUAUAAAAGCUGGUCUUCCCCAUAUUUUCUGUGAAGCUGUUUUUUAAAGAAUUCAAUUGCUUGGGUGGUGGGGAUGGGGUUGGGCAAGGAAUAUUAUAUUAUCCCAAGAUUAGUUUUCACAUAUAGACAAUAUUAACAACAGUAUAAUUCUGUCGUCCCCCUCCACUGCUUUCUGGCUCAAACUGGUGACUGGCAGGCAGGCCGUGGGGAAGGCUGCCCUUUGGUUCCUUGCUCUUUGCUGCUGGCAUCACCAGGCUAGGGCAGCGGAGGCCUGGAGACCCCUUCAUACAGCUAGAAAUAUUACCCCACUGCAUCCUUUUGACCUUCCCUCUGGGGGGCUUUGCCCAUAUUUUUUGGGUGGAAGGAAAUCACAUCCAAGAGCUACUUAACUAACUCAGAAGACUACUGGUCAGUCUGGUUCUGGCCAGUAGAGGUUAACAUGAGAAGGGCCUAACCCUCCUCUCAAAGCUUGCUGACCCCCAACACUUCCUCAGAUUCAAGAGCACAUCAUUUCAUGGUCAGGUAUGUCAGGUCCUCACAACAGGCCCGGGAGGAAGCAGAACUAGACAAGUUUGCUGACAUGAUCAGUCUGCCCCUCAGACACUGCCUUAAUAGGGUAGGAGAACAAAAUCAUUUUCUCCCUUGCACUUGGGAUGACAUUCCUAAUGGAUAAAUCAUACCUGCCGUGGCAAAAGACCACACCAAGAGGAACUGAACUUCUACUCCAGACUCUCACAAGGAUGACAGUGUUAAUUCCUAGAUACCAGAUGGAGAUCAGCCCACAAGUAGACACCUGCCCUGAGUACUAAGCUGUUCUGUAAAGAAUUAAGAAACCUGAAUCACCUUUUCAGGUGAAACUAGGUGUCAGCCUUAGACCCCUGGAGCACAGAAUGGCAGGGGAACUGUCUGGCUAACUACACUUGGAUUCCCCUGCUCCACUGAGACAUGAAGGCACCAAAUAAGGGCAAGGCCAGGUCAUUUUUCUAAGAUGCUAUGUCCAGUUGCUAAAAAAAAAAAAAAGCACCACUGCUGUUUUUGCUUCUCUCUACCCUGCUUUAUAGAAUAAUCCCCCUUUUAAACUUGAAGUCGGUCAAAUUCUAACCUUCAUAGAUGAAUUUAUCACUAGCAACAAGCAGAUGGUAUGCACUAUGUGACUUCUCCAUACAAGACGCUAAGUUACAGUCACUCAGAGGAUUCCGAAGCAAGGAUGACAGCCUCCACUCUCAGGGGGAUUAGUCUCCCCUAAUCGGAAAGGAGAGUGGCUUAAAGAAAGAAAUGUAGCUCAUCCUCCAACCCCCACUUCCCCAUACCUAAGCGGAUUAUAAUAUUUAACAGAAAUUGGCAGAAAUAUUUCAGUUACUUAUUUGCCCAUAGGAAUUGUUUGUUCAUCUUUUAAAACUCUGAACUAAUUUCUAAAGCCUGGCUGUAAAAAAACUCACUCAGGAGAAACAAAUUUAUUUAUCCAUGUGUAUUCAUACUUUGUGUUCCUUACUUUAUAAGGCCUGAAAAACAAAUCCCUAUUAACUGUGUUUUAAAUCUAGGGUGUGGCUAGGAAUACAGAGCCUCCUCAUGUUCUUCUGUGAGUGAUGGGUGAGACAUUUCUGUCCAGUUUAAAAAAACACACACACACAAUAAAAAUAGCAAGAAAUAGCCCAGAGCCUGGCAGAGUCUCGAAACAAGCUCUCAAUAUCUGAAGAUGUUUCAAGACGAACUUUUCCCCAUAGCUGCCCAGGAAUGAGAUGAACUUUGGCCAAUGGCACCCAGAAAGGUACCAGCUGCACCUCUGCCCAAAGUCCCAAACCACUCCUCAUUCAUGACGAACUCAACAUUUACAGCAAAUAUUUAUCACUUGGCAAUCAUUUUAUAACUUUCCCCACUCAAGUAGGAGUAUUUAUACUCUGAAUUAUUUGAUUUGCCUUACAAAUCACAUAUUCAACACUUCUUUCCACCCAAAUAUACAGAACAGGGAACCUCCCCAAACUGCACAAAUAGAAAAGGCAUUACUUUGCAUUUGUGUGGACAACGAUCUCAUGUUUUUUCAUAAGGAUCUUGCUACAUCCUCUAUUAACUUAAAUAAAUAGUUUUAAAGCCUUAGGUGCUUACUCUGCUUUUACUGAACAAGCAGAACUUUCAUGGCAAUCUAUCCCUUCUCUUUCCAUCAUGGGUAAGGUUCAUGUCUUCAUAACAACUGGUGCCACUUUUAUGAUGACUAAAGUCUAAAUUUUAACCCCCUACACACACACACACACACACACACACACACACACACACCCCACAUUUCAUACUUCAAGCAGUUUUGGCAUUGUUCUGGAAUGGCAUGUCAGAGCACCAUGGGUGUUUUGUCACUUUCAUCAGGGGCUCUCAUCCAGGGAUCCGAGGGAGGACUUUAGUAGUUUGUGAAUUCCCCAAGACUGUAUGUAAAACUGUCUAGGUGCUUCUGAGCAGCAAAGCCAAGUCUCACUGGCCCCUGGCCUUGGGCUUGUGUUUUCUUUUCUUUUUUUUUUUUGAGAUGGAGUCUUGCUCUGUCACCCAAGCUGGAGUGCAGUGGCGCGAUCUCGGUUCACUGCAAGCUCCGCCUCCCGGGUUCAUGCCAUUCUCCUGCCUCAGCCUCCCAAGUAGCUGGGACUACAGGUGCCUGCCACCACACCCAGCUAAUUUUUUGUAUUUUUAGUAGAGACGGGGUCUCACCGUGUUAGCCAGGAUGGUCUCGAUCUCCUGACCUCGUGAUCCACCCGCCACGGCCUCCCAAAGUGCUGGGAUUGCAGGCUUGAGCCACUGUGCCCAGCCUGGGCUUGUGUUUUCUUGAAGAGCUCCAAGGGUUUCUAAGAGUUUCCAGGGCUGAGAACCUCUAUCCUAGAGCACACAGAAGGAAUCAGCUGUGGAUCCUGCCCUUGUGGUGUUUCCAGUUGAGAAAGACCAUAUAAUAAAUUUAACAACUAUGUAAAGGAAGACCAGGAGGGCAACAGGUGAUUUCAAGGUGGGACAGGGUGAGGAGGACAUGGUAAGGAAAGCUUUAUUGUAGACAAGUGGAUUGUGGAUGGAGUUGUUCCAUCUGGUUCUAGCACAGGGUGAGUGGAGGAAACAGUGGGGAUAAAACCUCAAGGAGGCCAGGCGCGCUGCUCACACCUGUAAUCUCAGCACUUGGGUAGGCUGCGGCAGGUGGAUCACUUGAGGUCAGGAGUUCAAGACCAGCCUGGCCAAUAUGGUGAAACCCUGUCACUACCAAAAAAUAUAAAAAAUUAGCUGGGUGUGGUGGCAUGCACCUGUAAUCCCAGCUACUAGGAAGGCUGAGACAGGAGAAUAACUUGAACCCAGGAGGAGGAGGUUGCAGUGAGCUGAGAUCGUGCCACUGCAUUGCAGCCUGGGCAACAGACUGAGACUCUGUCUCAAAAAACAAACAAACAAACAAACAAACAACCUAAAGGAGAAGGCAGGUGAGGGACCUUCCUGACAAUGGAGUUUAUUUUGAGUUUCUCGACAGUGGUGCUAUUGACAUUUUGGACCUGAUAAUUCGUUGUUGUGGGGGCUGUGCUGUGUACCGCAGGAUGUUUAGCAGCAUCCGUGGUCUCUAUUCAUUAGAUGCCAAUAGCAACCACCCCCUGCCCCUCAGUUGUGACAACCAGAAAUGUCUCCAGCUCUCCAGGCAUGGCCAAAUGUCACGUAGGGGGCAAAAUGGCCCCAGUUGAGAACCACUGACUCUGAUAAGAACUACUCAUUCCAAUUCUCAAGAAUGACAAAACCUGGCUUCCAAGCAGCCACUAUCACAGUUGCAAGGAGCGGCCCAUGCCAGCAAGCAGGUCCAGUAGGUCACUGGCCCACCCAAUGAGCACUACCAGGGCAACUCAGGAAUGCCAGCCUUGCCACACAAUCAGAACAUGAUCGCUAGCAAAGCACGGAGUUAGACCAGGGAGUCCAUUCUACCCGUUUUAUUCACUAGAAGCUGGAUGCUCCCAGAGUGUGGCUGACUGGUCAGGGCCCUGUGGUCAUUUGUGGCUUCACAAGGAGCAGAGCCCUGCAUUCCCAGGCUGCCCCGCCAGGGUUCUUUCACUGCACACAACAGCUCAGGAGUCAAAGAAUCAAUAUUUUGGGAAAAAUAAACAAAUAAUUUACAUCUGCCUUCACCCCUGGCCACCAACCCAACACACAUAAAACUCAGAGUCCACAGAUACACUGCUUUUGGAAGCAGGUUCUAAUAUUAACUUCUUUGGUUUGCAAGGAGAGAAAAACAGCCCUGAAAGUGCCACUCCCUGAGGAAUAACGCAGCAGCAUCUCAAAUCAGUAACCAGCCAUUAGGCCCUCCCAGCCUUCUCUGGGAUCUGGCAAGAAAGUCCUGAGGUUUCACUUCAUACUCCAGCUAGGGCUUGCCCCACAAAAUGUGAAAAGGUCAAGGACUUGUGCGUUUAAGCUGGGGAGGGCUUUCCUUUAGAUGUCUGGUUCUUAGCUGUACCCUUUUGUUACUGAGAGAAGGCACCUGGGCUGGUUCGCAGAGGGCUGCCUGUGUCUCCUGGGACAAGCCCACAGCUAUAAAUGAGAUUUCUCCUUAGGGAAAUAUCUGCUCAUUUCCCCAGGGGGAAUUAGUUUUAAGUAAACAUCUCUAAAGAACACACACACACACACACUCUGAAAACUAAAGAAGAAAAUAGGGAGGUAGGACCGGGCGCGAUGGCUCACUUCUGUAAUCCCAGAACUUUGGGAGGUUGAGUCGGGUGGAUCACCUGAGGUCAGGAGUUCGAGACCAGCCUGGCCAACAUGGUGAAACCCCAUCUCUACUAAAAAUACAAAAAACAAAAACAAAAACAAAAAAAAAUUAGCCGGUUGUGGUGGUGGGCACCUGUAAUCCCAGCUACCCGGGAGGCUAAGGCAGGAGAAUCACUUGAACCUGGGAGGCAGAGGUUGCAGUGAGCCAUGAUUGUGCCACUGCACUCCAGUCUGGGCAACAGGAGCGAAACGCCAUCUCAAAAAAAAAAAAAAAAAAAAAAAUUGGGAGGUAGAUGAUGUCCCAGCAGAAUGAGAAACAAAGAGAUGUUGAAAUCCCAUUUCUAACUUCUCUUUACAAACUUUUCAUGUUGCAGUGACUCAAAAGUCUUGUGCAGAUGUGUUCUGCCAUUGAGAUGUGAUGUGUAAUCCGGACCCUCAUUCUUAGAUCUUUGCAGAAAGCAGCUAAUAGUUCCCAUUCUUUUCCUGGGUGUGGGGUUUGAAGGUUGUAUUUAAGUUGGAAUUUAGGCAGGGUUUUUCCCUUUUCAGCAUAGAAACCCCUUCAUACACAAAUACACACAACAAGAUACAGCAACACACAGUCAAACACAAGACACCUGUUAUUUACCUAAUAAACACAGUCACAUUAUGUUUACUUAUGAAAUGAGUAUGCAAGCAAAAUAAGCCUUCUUAGCCAUGGUGCUAGUGAAGGUCAUGGAUGCUGUCACUGGUUUAGAACAAGUCACUUAACCUAUUUAAUUAAAUCUGAUUCCAUGCAAUUCAAGAAUGAUUUACUGAACCCAGCAAUCAACAAUCUACUCAAUGGGAGCAGCAUGUGCUCCACAGCAGAAGCAUGGCUCUUUAGGGAACUGUGAGGUAACCACACUGCCUAGACCGGCUUACGUCCUAGGAAACAGCUGAAAUUUAUAGCAAAAUACCUGCUAGCACCUCAAAUGAGAAUGUCUUAAGAAAAACAAACCACAAUCGAUAUUUUGUUGUUGAUGCUCAUAAACUUUUGAAUUAAAUCUAAGAAAUGACCUUGUCUUGGAGUUAAAAAAAGCAAAUGGCACUUUCUUUCAACCUAAGUAAGUUGUAAUGAUCACAGAAUGCAUACUGAUGGCUAAGUGCAAUGCAUAACUCUAGAAUGAGAAACCAAAAUUCCUAUAAAGGACAUUCAUUACUGGGGCAAAAGCUGUAAUUUGAAUGUGCACUGUGGAUUAGAUAAUAGGAUCUGCUGUGUGUCAAAUUUCCUGAUUUUGAUAACUGUGCUAUGAUUAUAUAAGAAAAUGAUUUUAGAUGAAACACAAUGAGGUAUUUAGGGGUAAAGGGACAAGAUGCCUGCAAUUUACAUUCAAAUGGUUAAAAAAAAGUACGAGCAAAGACAGCACAAAUGAUAAAGCAACUGGAGCAAAAAGGAAAUAACUGGUGAAUCUGGAUAAAGGCUAUAAGGGAAUUUUUAAAUGCUAUUAUUGCAACUGCUGUGUAAGUAUGAAAUCAUAUCAAAAUAAAAACAUGGUCAGGCAAGGUGGCUCAAGCCUGUAAUCCAAGCACUCUGGGAGGCCGAGAUGAAGGGACUGCUUGAGCCCAGGAGUUCAAGACUAGCCUGGGCAACAUAGGGAGACCCCUGUCUCUAUAAAAAGUUAAAAAAAAAAAAUAGCCAGGCCUUGUGGUGCACACGUGUAGUCCCGGCUACUAGGAGGGCAAAGGUGAGAGGAUUGCUUGAGCCUGGGAGGUCAAGGCUCAGUGAGCCGUGAUUGUACCACCGCCCUCCAGCCUGGGCAACAGACUGACAGACACCCUGUCUCAAAAAUACAUACAUAAAAACAUACUAAAGAAUCCAGGGACCGAGUUAGCAUAUUUAUCCUUUAUGGGACAGAAAUGGUUUAUGCAGAAUUGGUUGAAUGAAUUAAGUUUUAUCAUAAUAGUGUUUGUUUUAAAAGAAUAUAUACCUUUAACUACAUAACUACAUGUAAAUGCAACUGAAGUUGGUAGUUUUUCUUUUACUAGAGGCUAUUUGAGACUGUAGUGAACCAAUACAAUUUUGCAAUGAGAAAUGAAUUGUCAUAAUAACCAACACUUCUUUGGCCCCUAUAGAAGACAAUGCAUUCUCCAUUGUCCUCUGAUCCUUCUAAAGGUUUGCGGGUGCCUGACAAGUCUGUGGCCUUGGCAUGUAGUUUCAUUAUUCACCACUCUCAGUGGUCCAAGGUAAACUCCACUUUGUUCUAGACCCAUUUGAAAGAUGAGCUCCAGGAAUAAAAUUUACUUAAGCCCCCUUUUUCUUUUGGGAGGUGAACCUGGAAGUGGGAAGAAGAGAUAUAGGAGCUCAACUGGAAGGAUGAAUUUCUGACAGUAUAAUUUAUUAUGUAUGAUUAGCAGAUAAUUAGGACUUGUGCAAAUGGGAGUUGGCAGCUAAGCCUAGUAUAGAUCCACAUCAUGGUAAAAGUUACAUUUUAACCAUCAGUCAAACUUUUAAAAGGACUUCUAGCAAUUCAAGCUAGCUGUUUUGUGAUUUAAAAUGUUUACCUGCCCCACAAAGACCACUGAAUGAUCACAGGUUAUUUUCUAGUUAAUUUACAGGUUUGUUAAUUUUGCUUAUUGGUUCACUGAUUCAUUGCCUGCUUCUUGCCCACCUAAUAUUUGUUGAUGAAUGAAUAAAUGUUAGAUGUAUCUGCCGAAGAUGGAAUGUUUUCCACCAUGUUAAUUUUACUUUAAUUAGAAGUUUUACUGUGGGACUUAGAAUUUAAAAAAAAAUCAAUAGAUUUUGAGAUCAUGUAAGAAGAAAUGUUUGUUUUAGAUUUCAGGCACUAUGGUUUUGUCAUUUUUGAUGAAAGUGUUUCACAUAUUUUAUUUACAUAACUAUUUGGAGUGAGAAGAUUUAAAAAUUUUUUUUUUUAUUGAAAUGACGGGGUCUCACUUUGUUAGCCAGGGUAGUCAUGAAUUCCCGGCGUCAAGCAAUCCUCUCACCUCAGUCUCCUAAAAUGCUGGGAUUAAAGAUGUGAGCCACCAUGCCUGGCAGUGAGAAGGUUUAUAGCCUUUCUGAGAUCUUACCUAGACUGGAAAACAUGAGCACAGUUGUCCUUUUGAUGGCUGUAUGUUCCUCUUGCUUAAAAUAUGUUUACAACAAUGGUAGAGUAGCUGUGAUUGGAACUCAAGUAGCCAGUGUCCUGUGUGACCUGGAGCCUACCAAAUCACCUAUGAGUGGGUCUAUAAAACUGUCUAUGACUUCCUCCUUGACUAUUAUUAACAGUGGAAGAGUUGUAGACUCUUCAAGUUAAUCAUGUUAAGGCUUGGGAAACAGGAGAAAGUGAAAUCUGUUCUUGUGACUUAUUUAUAAUAUUCAACCUGCAUCUGUCUAGCAUCCUUCCUCUAAGAACCUUAGCGUAUUUUCCCUUAACUUGAAUGGUAAAUUCCUGAACUCUGCUGUGAGGCAGUGUGAAGAGAUAAUCAGGCCUGACACGGUGGCUCAUGCCUGUAAUCCUAGCACUUUGGCAGGCUGAGGCAGGCGGAUUCCCUGAGCUCAGGAGUUCGAGACCAGCCUGGGCAACAUGGUGAAACCCCAUCUCUACUACAAUACAAAAGAAAUUAGCCGGGCGUGGCAGCAUGUGCCUGUAGUCAGGAGGCUGAGGCAGGAGAAUUGCUUGAACCCGGGAGGUGGAGGUUACAGUGAGCCGAGAUUACGCCACUGAACUCCAGCCUGGGUGACAGAGAGAGACUCUGUCUCUUAAGAAAAAAAAAAGAGAGAGAUAUCAUCAACCAAUAGUGCAGUAACAGUUUUACAGACAGUGAUAGGAGAAGACACUAUUACUCAGCACUAGAACUGUCAAGUCAAACAGUGUCACCAAACAGUGGUGAGAGUAAGGAAACACUUACUGUUCACUUUACUAAAUUUCUUCUGGGGAAGACAAUUCUAAUUAAAAUCUUGGGCCCAAAAAUCUGUCCUUUUUGCCUAAGAGAAAGUCAACAAACCACCUUUUAGCUUUCUUACUAAGAGGUGUCUUGGGAAGACUUUGGCAUAAAUUUCUUUUCUUUCUUUUUAAAAAGAGACAGGGUCCUGCUGUGUUGCCCAGGCUGAUCUCAAACUCCUAGCCUCACGUGAUCCUCCCAUGUCAGCCUCUCGAAGUGUUGGGAUUAUAGGCAUGAGCCACCACAACUGGCCUGGCAUAAUUAUUACUGCAGAAAUCUGAGAACACCCUGCUAUCAAGGGAGGGUGUGUUUAGCCUUACAGAGACUCCCAGGGCUGGCAGGGGUUUAUUUUUAAUCUUAGAAACUUUAAACAAAGGUUGACUUUUGACCAUGUAUGUUUCUCAUCUGUCCAUAGCCAGAGUUAGCAGGUAACCACACAUUGUCAUGGAGAACCAGUUUUGUGAGGUCCUUUCAAAGUGCAUGUUCAAGCAAACAAAACACUUAAAAGCUGAGUUAAAGGCUCUAUGCCAUGUGACCAGUACCACACCCACCCUUUCAGUAUGCCCUCACUCUUCCAUGCCAGGUUCCCACCUGCACAACCACAUAACUGCCCUGACAGUUCUUCAAACAGCUCUAUUCCCCUCAGCAGUCUUUAUUUCUCAACGAAAGCAACUGAAUUCACCAAAAGACUUAAGUGGUAGGGUUGUAAAAUUAUUAAAUAGGCCAGGUGCAGUGGCUCACGCCUGUAAUCCCAGCAUUUUGGGAGGCCGAGGCAGGCGGAUCACCUGAGGUCAGGAGUUCGAGAACAGUCUGGCCAACAUGGCGAAGUCAUGUCUUUACUGAAAAUACAAAAAUUAUCCGGGCGUGAUGGCAUGAGCCUGAAAUGCCAGCUAAUCGGGAGGCUGAGGCAUGAGAAUCACUUGAACCCGGGCGGCAGAGGUUGCAGUGAGCCAAGAUCGCACCACUGCACUCCAGCCUGGGCGACAGAGCGAGACUCCAUCUCAGUAUUAAAAAAAAAAAAUUAUCAAAUAAAAAUACAAGAUGUCUCUCAGGCAAUGUUUGGAAUAUACUUAUUAUUCUUCUCCGGCCCCGCAAGUUAUUUGUUGUUUAUCUGAAAUUCAAAUUUAACUGGGCACUCUGUAUUUAUCUGGCAACCCUAAUAAGAGGACCUGCUGGUACCACUGCCAUCCCUGCAAAAGCCACUCCUUGGGUCUAGAAUGGGAAGAGGGAUCACUGUUCCUCAGAAGGGUAGAGUGGGCACAGAAAAAGCAAGAGGUUGUAGUGAAAAAGACACUGUAUAUGUAAUUAGUCCAGACUGGAGUUUCUGCCCCCAAACUUAAAAACUGCACGAGCAUGGGUGCCUAGCUCGGGCCAUCUAUAAGCAAGGCAAGCAACAUCCUUCACAAGCAACUUUGCUGGCCUCCCACACAGCCUCCUUAUGAGCUUCCAUCCCUUCUUUCUUCACAGGCAAACCGCUGCGCACCUUCAACAUGCAGCUGGUGCCACCAUGGCAGCAAGGUCUUCGGACUCCUUUCGGCUCCUAGUACUUCAGACGGGCUCUGCCCUAUUGGCACAUCUGUCUCCACCAGUAGACUUAGGAGAGUUUCAGAAAGACGAGAGGGGUGAGCAGAGGCAAGAACUGGCUAGGCAGAUGGGUUGUGGGAAGGAGAGGGCCUGGAACUGCAGGAGAUUCCAAGGCAAGAGUGAGUAUGAUGUAAAGUUGGUGGGGUCAGCAGCGGCCAACUCUGGCCUGACACUGCACCAGGGAGAAAAAGCAGGCUGUGGCAUUAAGAAAACCAAAAGGUAACACCCAAUGUCGGUGCUGCUGGGAAGAAAUGGACAUUCAACUGUAAACCAUUCUAAGGGAGAAAACAAUUUGGUUCUACUAUCAAAAAGCUUCAAUUUCUCAGGCCGGGUGUGGCGGCUCAUGCCUGUAAUCCUGCCACUUCAGGAAGCUGAAGCCGAAUCACUUGAGCUCAGGUGUUCAAGACCAGCCUGGGCAACAUGGUGAAACCCUGUUCCUACAAAAAAUACAAACAUUAGCCAAGCCUGAUGGUGUGUGCCUGUAAUCCCAGCCACUCAAGAGGCUAAGGUGGGAGGAUCCCCUGAGCCCAGGAGGUUGAGGCUGCAGUGAGCUGUGAUUAUGCCACUGCACUCCAGCUUGGAUGACAGAACUAGACCCUGUCUCGAAACAAAAAACAAAAAAAAAACACUGAGAUUUCUGCAUAUACCCUUGGGCUCUACCAUCCAACUUCAAGGAAUUUAACUUUAGGAAAUAACUAUAUUUUUGUGUACAAAGAUUUGGUUAUAGCAGUGCUUUAAAAAAAAAAUCUCAGUAAGAAAAGAGAAUUUAAAUGACCACAAAUAGGAGCCUGAUUAAAUAACUCUGGUACUGUUAUAGAACUGCAAUAUGUGGCCAUUAAAUAUGAUCCUAAAGAAUAUUUAUCACUGUAGAAAAGCAGUCACGAUGUGUUAGAUAAAGAAUGUGUUAGAUAAAGAAGCAGAUUAUGAAACAGUGUAGACAAUAGGAUUCCUCACCUGUAUUGUUCUAUUCUCAAAUUGCUACAAAGAAAUACUUGAGACUGAGUAAGUUAUAAAGAAAAGAGGUUUAAUUGGCUCACGGUUCUGCAAGCUGUACAGGAAGCAUAGUGGCUUCUGCUUCUAGGGAGGCCUCAGAAAGCUUCCAAUCAUGGUGGAAGGCAAAGGGGGAGUGAGGCAUCUCACAUGGCAAGAGCAGGAGCAAGGGUGGGAGAGGUGCUUCACACUUCUUAAAUAACCAGAUCUCAUAAGACUCACUAUCAUGAGAACAGCACCAAGAGGAUAGUGCUAAGCCAUUCAUGAGAAAUCCACCCCCAAGAUCCAACCACCUGCCCCAGGCCCCACCUCCAACAUUGGGGAUUACAAUUGAACAUGAGACUUGAUGGGGACAUAGACCCAAACCAUAUCACCAUCUCACUUGUUUUGUUUUUGUUUUUGUUUUUAAAGAAAAACUCCACCGAUGUAGAAAUAAGUUUGCAAGGAUGUAUGCAAAAUGGUAUAGUGGUUAUCUUUAGGUGAGGGAGAUUAUAGGAGAUUUUAAUUUUAUACUAUUUUCUAUAUGUUCUACAUUUAAAAAUAAUCAUAACUUUAGAAAACAUAAUAUGUAAAAAUACACAAAAUAUAAUACAUAUAAUUUAAAAUGCUGCUUAAUCUAACCAGUUUUCCCUCUCAAAAAAUUUAAAGAAAUGAAAAAAAAUCCUCAUCACUGAAAAACCAAUACAAGGGCCAACUUACACAGCUCUAUGAAAAUGCUAUAUGAUUAAGAGUAGGGAAGGGAAGCUCAUUGGGAAAAUCUAUGGGAAAAAAUAGGAAUGAUUCCUUUUUUUCAAGUUUAUGCAUGAACCUGACCUCAGACAUCGGCCAUUUAGUUUCUGUUAGCUUCUAACUGAGCACAUUUAUUUAGUGCCUGGGCUGUGUCAGGCACUUUGCAUGAAUUAUUAGUGUGUUUGGUCCUCAAGGCAACCUUGAGGCUUGGAGAGGUCACCAGCCAGUCACAGUGGGGCUGGAGUUGGGAUUUGGACCAGGCCAGAUGAGGGGCUGCCCUCAAAACUGCCAGAGUUAGAGGGAUCCUGGGGGUAAAAGGGACCCAAAGAUACUAUCUUUGCUGAUUCAAAAUUUUAAAGCAGUGCAUAGGCCGGCGCAUUAGCAAAAGAAUAUUUUUCUUUUUCUUUUCUUCCCUUUUUUUUUUUUUUUUUUUUUUUUUUGAGACAGGGUCUCACUCUGUCACCCAGGCUGGAGGGUAUUGGCAAGAUCUCAGCUCACUGCAGCCUGGACCUCCUGGGCUCAAGCGAUCCUCCCACCUCAGCCCUCUGAGUAGCUGGGAGUAUAGACACGAGCCACCAUGCCCAGCUAAUUUUUGUAUUUAUUUAUUUAUUUUUUUUAUUUUUUGAGACGGAGUUUCACUCUUGUUGCCCAGGCUGGAGUGCAAUGGUGCGAUCUCAGCUCACCACAACCUCCGCCUCCUGGGUUCAAGUGAUUCUCCUGCCUCUCAGCCUCCCAAGUAGCUGGGAUUACAGGCAUGCGCCACCACGCCUGGCUAAUUUUUUAUUUUUAGUAGAGACAGGGUUACUCCAUGUUGGUCAGGCUGGUCUCGAACUCCCAAUCUCAGGUGAUCUGCCCGCCUCGGCCUCCCAAGUGUUGGGAUUACAGGUGUGAGCCACUGUGCCUGGCACAAAUUUUGUAUUUUUAGUAGAGACGGGGUUUCACCAUGGUGGUCAGGCUGGUCUUGAACUCCUGACCUCAUGAUCUGCCCUCCUCAGCCUCCCAAAAUGCUGGGAUUACAGGCAUGAGCCACCACACCUGACCAGGAAUAUUUUUCAUCCAUCUGUAUAUCACCUGUGGGCAAAAACUGAGAACAGGAAAACCCUUUUAUUCCAUAGAUGCUACACAGUCUAAAAAUCAUUACAUAAAAUCUUUACCAAACUGGAAAUGAGGAAAACAACAGUUUUGCAAUCUAGGGCAAAGCUGAUGAAAUUCUGUAGAGCAUUUCAGUAUCCUUCAUCAGCCUUAAAAGGAUACCCCGAAUCUUAAAAUAAAGAUACAUUUGAUCAGGAAGACUUUCUUAUUUUCCUUUUCAGGAUGUCCAGCGUGGAACCACAUUCAAAUACCCUGUGUAUGAUCAUGUCCUGAAAAACUCGCCAGCAAUACACAGUGGCUCCAAAUGCUGGCACUGGUACACAGUUUAGCAAAUGUGUAUCUGCUACGUGCCCCUUUCAAGGAGUGAGGACCUUAUGGGUUUGAAUAAGAACGGCCAUGUCUCACAAAUUUUGUCAGAAGCAAAAUCUGAUGCUUAAGACAUUUUACAGUGAAGCCUCACUAUAUUCAUGUAUACAGUACUUUUUAAUGGGGCUUCAAAAAACAGCUCUACCACAGAACGGGAGAGUCUAUCCCAAUCUUGGGCUGGUAUUUUAUAGGCCAGACCUGCUGUAACUUUUGGUAAGCCUCUGUUCUGGUUAUACUAAGGCUCAACUUUCACUGAUAACUAUUUACUCUAGUUCCAGGUCAUGGUGACCUGUGAAAAAUCUUUGGCCAGUUAUGUGUGGAAUUACCAUUAAGCUUAAGUACUGCCAUAUAGUAUUCUAAUGCUUCUGCUUUAUACAAAAAGUAAACUACAACGAAAGGUGUAUUAUCAAUUUUGUUCUUUAAAAUCUUGAGCCCCGGAGUUAAUGUAUGUGGACUCUGGUCCUUGCCAGUUCACUCUGUGCUUUUAUGGGCCAACCUUGCCCAUGUCAGGCAGUAGUGAGGACUUCAGGGACAACUUCCAAAGUAAAUAGUUUUGUGUUAGGAGAAUUCUGGGGGUUAGGAAGAAAUUUUUGAAAGUAUUUUUGGCUAAUCGGCUUGUGCUUCCUGCUUCCAGGUGAUCCCCCAUUGCAACCUUCCAACCACCCCAAUACCCCCCAUAUUCCAUUCCAUAUGGUGAAGCAAAAGCCCUCAACAGCACUUCUAAUCUGAUUUCCAAGCACCCACUAACUAGGCGUCAUCUCCGUUCUUUCUAAUGGAUGAACAAACAGGGUCAGGGAAGUAUGUGACUGGACCAAAGUCACACAAAGCCAGGACGAGAACCCAGGUCUUCUGUUUCCUGGCUCACGUUCUUUUCACUGGGACCGCUUACUAUAUUUUAAAAUUUUAGGGUAAGAAAGAACCUUGGGAUAAUCAUUUAGUCCAAUCCCUUCUCUUAAAGACCCUCAGGUGCAAAAAAGAAACUGACCUGUAUAGAGUCAAACAUCUAGUCACAAGGCCAUCAUCUGAGGGUUCCUGAUGGCCAGAAAAUAAUAUUCUCUUGGCAAAAUGAAGAUGAAAAGAAAACAAGCUACAAAAUCACCAACAGUUAGGGCCUAACAGAGUUCCAAAGUUCAUGUAUGGCAAGAGUUAAAUGAGAACUUCCAGGCUCAAGGAAUGCUUCUACAAGAGAAUCAGAUCAGAGGCUGCAUGCUGGCAGCUGGAAUUUGGCCUGGAGACGUGGUGGUUCGCUUUGUCUGCAAGUGGUGGUUAUACAUGUGAAGUCAGCCAAUGCUAGAAAAAAAAUCGAGAUAUUUAACAUAAAAAAAAAAUCCAGGCUGGGCACGGUGGCUCACACUUGUAAUCCCAGCACUUUGGGGGGCCGAGAUAGGAGGAUUGCUUGAGCUCAGGAGUAUCAAGACCAGCCUGGGCAACAUAGUGAGAUGACAUCUCUUAAAGGAAAAAAAAAAGAUCCAGAUUUCUGGCUUUUCUUGAAAAAAAUCUAAAGGUCUGAUAUGCCUGUACCCACAUCCCCAACCCCACCAAUCAGCCAGAGGUGAGUAAAGGCUGCCUCUUGGGAGGUGGCACCUGUUCUCUGGCUCUCCACCAUCUCCACUGCUCCUCCAGGUCUCCCUGACCCUGAGGCCAUGAGUGCAUCAAAUACUUCUCUCCUCUCCUCUCCUCUCAUUACAUGGCCCUCCUCCCAUUUAGAAAGUUUGUCUCCACUGAACUAGAUGAGGCCAAGGGAUUUUAAACUUUCAACUGUUUUGUCUAACCUUACUUGGUUUUAUGUUAUUUUUUAUUUUUUUAAGGAACACAGACAUUGUCACAAUUCAACCACAGAGAAGACUUGUCCAGCUGAGGCUUUCAAAUUCAAUAAUUAUUUGGAGAUAUGCUACUAGAAACUUUCAGAGAGGACAAAGAAAAGGUAUCAUUACAGUGUAAGAAGGCUGGAGUGGAUUAGCAUUGCUCACAGUUGUAGAGAGAAAUACUUGGCUGAUAUCAAAAUACAUCGUUGGAUGGUAAAGUAGACUAUGUUGUUGAUAUGAAUGUGUCAACCUUCACUUCUCCCCCUAAACCCACACACUGAAGGGGUGAGUUUAAGUCUGGGCACAGGAUGUCAAAAGUUCUCAGGCAUGGAACAAGCCACAGAAUGGAUUAAAAAAUACCCCAAGCGGAAGAAAGCCAUACACUAUUAGACAUUCCAUUUUUUUUUUUUUUUUUUUGACACAGAGUCUUGCUCUGUCACCCAGGCUGGAGUGCAGUGGCACAAUCUCAGCUCACUGCAACCUCCACCUCCUGGGUUCAAGCGAUUCUCCUGCCGCAGCCUCCUGAGUAGCUGGGAUUACAGGUGCCUGCCACCACACCUGGCUAUUUUUUUUUUUUUUUUUUUUAAUGAGACUGAGUUUCACUCUUGUUGCCCAGGCUGGAAUGCAAUGACGUGAUCUUGGCUCACUGCAACCUCUGCCUCCCGGGUUCAAGCAAUUCUCCUGCCUCAGUCUCCUGAGUAGCUGAUAUUACAGGCAUGUGCCACCAUGCCCAGCUAACUUUUUUGUAUUUUUAGUAGAAACGGGGUUUCUCCAUGUUGGUCAGGCUGGUCUCAAACUCCUGACCUCAGGUGAUCCACCCACCUCAGCCUCCCAAAGUGCUGGGAUUACAGACGUGAGCCACUGCGCCUGGCCCUAAUUUUUGUAUUUUUAGUAGAGACAGGGUUUCACUAUGUUGUCCAGGCUGGUCUCGAACUCCUGACCUCAGGUGAUCUGCUCACCUCUGCCUCCCAAAGUGCUGGGAUUACAGGCAUGAGUCACCACACCCAAAGAUCUGAGCUAAUAAUGCAUCCGGUUCCCCAUAUCAAAGGUGCUGGCAACACUCUAGCCUUUAAUUAAUUACCCUAAACCUAAGUGGGAUAGUUAUUUGGCAAUACAUCCAUUUUUUUGCCAACUGAAGCAGUCCAGAGCUGUGAUGAUACCCCACAAAAUACUAGGUUUGUAGGUUUCCCCCACCCUCCCAUCUUCCUACCCUACAUGCCCUACAAAAUUCCUGCCAAUGAAUUUCAUAGUGAGUAUGUAUGUUGUCAUUUUGGGAUGGUCCCAUAAGAGGCCCAUCUGGUGAACUCAUCCAACCAGACGGUUUUGUUACUGGUGUCAACCUUGAGUUAUGAUUCAGAAUCUUGAGUAUACACUCAGAUUCGAAAUCCCUACGUAGUAAGGUGUAGGACAAAACAUCUGUGCCUUUGAGAUGCAGGUGCUUGGACUGGUCCUCUUACUAGCUGUGUGAUUUGACAAGUCACUUCACAUUUAACCACUCUGUAGGCAUGAGUUUCCUCAUCUGAAAAAAAAAAAAGGCAAACUAGUAAAAGCUGACCCCUGCAAAGUAACUGGCAGAUAGAGGGCAUCCAAUAACAUUCCAGAUAGCCUCCCUUCUUUUCAUAGAAUGCUAGAAGCUACAGGUCCUUAGAAGUCAAGCAGAUUCAUCUCUCAUUUGUAUAGAUGAGGAAAUCAAGGCCCUGGGAGGUGGUCUUUCAGGCAAACAGUGGCAGCUCUUGAGAUGUGGGCUCUGGUACUUUAUUCAACGUUGGUUUUUUUCACAUGAGCCAGCCCAUGAGAGAUUCUGAGAGCAGGUGGGGACAGUAAAAAGGCAGUCCCAUAAUUUCUAGGAGCCUCAAACUGUAGGCCAAAGGGCUAGGUAAACAGAUCUGCCUUGUUUUAAGUUUGAUACAGGCCUUACGGCUCUCUGUUGUUUCUCAUCCUCUACAACUAACACAUCUUGGUUGGUCGCUGGGCCUAUGUAUACAUUCAAGUUUGGUUUAUCCAGACUAACUGGCUGAGCUGCCCUGCCAAUAGUUUGGAUUAUUGAUCAACCAAAGGUGAGGGACACACACCCCAGCUUUAUACAACUCACACACAUGCACACACAAAAGCAUCCCCAAGAUCACAUCCUAAGCUUGGUUCUUGGUCUGCAGGGGAAUAAUUGGCCCUUUUAAAUUUCAGCUUGCAAAGUAAUAGCUUUACCCCACUGCAUUCUUAUAGAAUAGAGACUCAGAAAACCACUGACAUGUACAGAAAGGCUGAGAACCCCUGAUUCCCAGAACUACUCUUCAAGGUUGAUUUCAGUAGCCUGUUUCACGUUAGGAAAGAACGUAUGCUUUCAUAGGAACCAGAGUUCUAGAUCCUGAAAGUGAAACUUCAUGCUCCAUAUAGCAUAACUGUUUCCUUCCCUUUCUCUUGGGAACAACACAAUUCUAUUAUGGUUACAUUUUAAAAACAAAUUAUGGAUUACUGACUAAUAUCAAAUGCUCAUUUGUGAACUAAAACUCACCUAAAAGCCAUUUCUUUUGUUAGCCGCUGCGCGUUUAAGGGAAAGUAAAGGGGUGAGAAAAUGGCUCCCCAGAAAUCCUAUGGGGCAUCCCCCACCCCUGCAAUAUAUCUCAAGCAUCAAAUAGCCACUCUAUGUUAACUACCACCAAACCUUUUCCAACCACUAGGUUGUCACCUUUUUCACAACCCUAAGACAACUAUGCAAAUACUUUAUCUAAAUUUUGAGAAACUGGGCUGAGUGAAUUAGUAAGCACUAUAUGAGGAGGGGUUAACAGCAAUUUAUUAAGGUUGCCUGAAACACCCUAGUCCAAACACCGAUUCAAACUCUUAUUUAAAUAUGCUAUUUUAAACCUGAUUUGCAGCAGGGCAGCAGACCAAAUUAAAGCACUCAUUUUACUGACCUGAGUCCCAAGCCUGAAUUCUCUGGUGGAUUAUUUUUAAUUUAAAAAUGAGCUCUUGUCCUAUAAAAUAAGCAGCACCAAGGAGAAAUGCAAGACAGCUUAAAUGGCCCAAGAGGCAGCGCAAGUUACUUUUACAAAAAAACUGGAAAGUAUUAGUGACAUUAUCUCCACUUCUAAUUUCAGAAAAUGACUUUACAGUAUACUUCUAGGUUAUAACGUAGACAAGUAUGUCUGUGAAACUGCUCCUGAAGGUUUCCACGUAAUAGCUGCAGGUAAACAAAUGUUAUAAUAUGACCACACAAUGCAAUACUAUGCAGCCAUUUAAAAUACAAUGAAGUCGACUAGGUUUCAGGCAUAGAGAAAUAUGUGUGAUAAUAUGAAUUUAAGAACAGCAAGUUGCAGAUGCCAUUUUUGGAGAAAAACUUACAUCUAUGUGUGGGUAUUAAAAAACCUCCCUGACAUACACUGACAUCUAUGAUUCUAUAUUUAGCUGCGAGGGUGUAUGUAUAUAUAGUUUAAAAAGAUACACACUAAACCUAACAAUGGUGGGAAAGGAGGGGAGAGAUCUUGGUCUUUCAUUUUACUUCUUGUCUUGGUGGCUUGCAUUUUUCGCAAGGGCAUUGAAAACUUUUUACAUUAAAUAAAAAAUGAAGUGAUGAGCUUUAAACAACUGUAACAACAGCUCUUGAGUGCCCUUGUUAAUUUCUUGAUUGACUGUUUUCACCCCACUUAGUACAACAACGCAGCCACAACUCCUCAGUCCUUCCCAGUCUUUGGAAGGCUAGGAGAGAAAAAGGCGUGGCUUGCAGGGUUUUCUUCUAGCUAGAGGAAAACAGGCUGUAGGCGCCCUUUUUUUAGCUACAAUCCCGAGAGCUCCCACGUGUCAGGGGUGCGCAGACGGUAGGCGCGGGGUGCAGGACUCCAAUUAUCAAUUCAGCCGAGCCCAGCGCUGGUAAAGGGGGCGUUUAGCUCGCCCGUUUCCUCCCUCCUCAAUCCCCACACAGUCAGUUUCUCGGUCCAAGUUUUACUGGUGCGGCCCAGCCCUACCGAGAGUACCCGAAUACACGUCUGCAGAGGACGCGGGCAUUGGGCCGGGUGAGCUACGAUGUUCUAACGAUCAGCAAAUGCCAAUUAAUCUGUUAAUUGUCUAUUAACAAUUAUUACUCGGUAAAUGUCAACCCAGACCUACACCCAAAGUGGGCUUGAGGGAGGGUGGACGAAGUGUAAACAUUUUUUCUUUUUUUUUUUUAAAUGAGAGAUGCCGCCCGCCUCUCCGGGCCUGCGAGUGGGCUGGCGGAUACCGGAGUCCCUGAGGUCACCGGCGGAGGUACGUGGGCUGUCCCUGGGCUUACCUUACAGGGAAACAGGACUGCCGAGGCCACCUUCUCCAUAGCCAGGUUCCUGAUGCUGGGCGUCAGGGCGCCCCUGCACGUCGGGCAGCAGCUCAACUUCUGGCGG